RNAcentral lists this ribosomal RNA (34 nucleotides) under Pezicula radicicola. RNAcentral's name for it is "partial 28S ribosomal RNA". The record is from RNAcentral. Lineage: Eukaryota; Fungi; Ascomycota; Leotiomycetes; Helotiales; Dermateaceae.
GACCUCGGAUCAGGUAGGGAUACCCGUGAUUAAG